This is a long non-coding RNA of Prunus persica (peach), 4736 nucleotides long. RefSeq lists it as uncharacterized. The transcript is spliced from 5 exons. The record is from RefSeq and is a predicted model, not a curated record. NCBI's taxonomy places the organism in Eukaryota, Viridiplantae, Streptophyta, Magnoliopsida, Rosales, Rosaceae.
UUCUCUCUCUUUAGUUUCUGUUCAUUUUGUUAUACUCUCUUUAGUUCAUGUUCGUUAUCUUUUGAAUAAUCGGAAAUAUAGAUUUUAUGAGGGAAAGAUGAAGUCUUUGAGGGAAAGAUCUAUAUUUUCCGAUGAUCCAUGUUCUUUGAGAUCUGUCUUUCCCGAUGAUUCGUGUUCUUUGAGAUCUAUCUUUCCCGAUGAUUCAUGUUCUUUUAGUUUAUGUUCACUUUGUUAUACUCUCUUUAGUUCAUGUUCUUUAUCUUUUGAAUAAUCGGAAAUAUAGAGUUUAUGAGGGAAAGAUGAAGUCUUUGAGUGAAAGAUCUAUAUUUUCCGAUGAUUCAUGUUAUUUGAGAUCUGUCUUUCCCGAUGAUUCAUGUUCUUUGAGAUCUAUCUUUCCCGAUGACAUCUAUCUGCCUCCGAACAUAACAUUCUCUCUCUUUAGUUUAUGUUCAUUUCCUUAUACUCACUUUAGUUUAUGUUCAUUUUCUUAUACUCUCUUUAGUUCAUGUUCAUUGUCUUAUUUUCUCCGUAGUUCAUAUUCGUUAUCUUUUGAAUAAUCGGAAAGAUGAAGUCUUUGAUUCAUGUUCUUUGAGAUCUGUCUUUCCCGAUGAUUCAUGUUCUUUGAGAUCUAUCUUUCCCGAUGACAUCUAUCUGCCUCCGAACAUAACAUUCUCUCUCUUUAGUUUAUGUUCAUUUUCUUAUACUCUCUUUAGUUUAUGUUCAUUUUCUUAUACUCUCUUUAGUUCAUGUUCAUUGUCUUAUUUUCUCCGUAGUUCAUGUUCGUUAUCUUUUGAAUAAUCGGAAAGAUGAAGUCUUUGAUUCAUGUUCUUUGAGAUCUGUCUUUCCCGAUGAUUCAUGUUCUUUGAGAUCUAUCUUUCCCGAUGACAUCUAUCUGCCUCCGAACAUAACAUUCUCUCUCUUUAGUUUAUGUUCAUUUUCUUAUACUCUCUUUAGUUUAUGUUCAUUUUCUUAUACUCUCUUUAGUUCAUGUUCAUUGUCUUAUUUUCUCCGUAGUUCAUGUUCGUUAUCUUUGGAAUAAUCGGAAAGAUUUAGUCUUUGAUUCAUGUUCUUUGAGAUAUGUCUUUCCCGAUGAUUCAUGUUCUUUGAGAUCUAUCUUUCCCGAUGAUUCAUGUUCUUUUAGUUGAUGUUCAUUUUCUUGUACUCUCUUUAGUUCAUGUUCGUUAUCUUUUGAAUAAUCGGAAAUAUAGAGUUUAUGAGGGAAAGAUCUAUCUUUCCCGAUGAUUCAUGUUCUUUGAGAUCUAUCUUUCCCGAUGAUUUAUUUUGAGGGAAAGAUCUGUUCCCCGAUUUCAUUUUUUUCAGAUCUGUUCUUCAAUUCAUAACAUUCUCUCUCUUUAGUUUAUGUUCAUUUCAUUUCUUAUACUCUCUUUAGUUCAUGUUCAUUUUCUUAUUUUCUUCUUAGUUCAUGUUCGUUAUCUUUUGAAUAAUCGGAAAGAUGAAGUCUUUGAGGGAUAGAUCUAUAUUUUCCGAUGAUUCAUGUUCUUUGAGAUCUGUCUUUCCCGAUGAUUCAUGUUCUUUGAGAUCUGUCUUUCCCGAUGAUUCAUGUUCUUUUAGUUGAUGUUCAUUUUCUUAUACUCUUUAGUUCAUGUUCGUUAUCUUUUGAAUAAUCGGAAAUAUAGAGUUUAUGAGGGAAAGAUGAGAUCUUUGAGGGAAAGAUCUAUCUUUCCCGAUGAUUUAUUUUGAGGGAAAGAUCUGUUGCCCGAUUUCAUUUUUUUCAGAUCUGUUCUUCAAUUCAUGUUCAUAUUUAUGUUUCCGGUAUGUAUUAUUGUCAUUGAUUCGGCCCAAUGUCGCAUAAAGGGCCCACUUGGGCCCAGAAGUUGUGCUCAUUGUAAUUUGUUCAUUCAUAAUAAUUUAUGUUAGUUCUCAAGGUCGUCUGGGUAUAAUCUCUGGGGGCCACGCUUCUUCCCACUAAUCCAAGUAGAAAUUUCUUAGUGUUUGGCCCUAAUAAUUUAGUUUGACACUUCUAUCUUAGUGUUUUUCUGUCAAGUGUCAAGCAUAGCAAAAUAUAUCAAUCAGCAUUCAGCGGCACCAUGCUAUCUGCUUGUGCAUGAACAAAUAAUCAGUGUGAGAUGUUCAAGAGUAAACUUGACCGUAGACUCUUCUCACCAAUUCACCCCAAGAAAGGCAGAUGCUUGUUAGACUAACAAAAUUGAGAGAUAUUCUGUACCACUUAACCUACUACAAUAUGAAAACUAUAAAAAGUUCCCUAUCUAACCUAUACUCGAGUUGCCAGGUCGAGCGGGAAAAAGAAUAUCAGAAUAUCCUCACUAGCACCCUCGCUUCGCUCUGAGCUUGCACUGAACCCUUGACUUAUACAGCCACCCAGGUUCCACCCUCACUCUCCUUUGUCUCGAGACUCUUUAACAUGUUCUGGUUACCUCCAAAGAACCAGCUUUGAUGGCACAGGUGGUAGCCACAUCCAUGCCUUUCAAUACCAGAGCUUAUCCGGGUUUCCUCAUCAAUUUGAAAUGCUUCCUCCACAAAGGCAUCGAUCCACACAGCCCACCAUUACGUGACGCAGUGAAAGUACUGAGUGACAGACCUUGCACCAUGACUAGAAUAGCCUAGAAUUGUUCCCAAAAAAACCCGCCUAGCGCCUAGGCGCACCCCACCUAGGCCGAUUUUUCGAAAAAGACUAUCUAGUAGCUCAGGGCAAGGCAUCGAAGAGUUUUGAUCUCCAAACUCCAACACAAGAAUCUUGUAAACCUCAACAAAAGCUUAGAUAUGAUAUUUUUGGGUUAGUUUCACUGGUCCUUUGUGUUUGGCUGCAAUUUCUCAUUGUCAUCUAUCUUUCUUCAGUAUCAUUGAUAAUGUCUGACCUCUUCCUAUCCUAGUAUGCCGAAGUCAGGGGGAAUUUUGAUUUCAUUUCUAAUGGCAAUGGGUGUAUUGAUUAGAUCCAAUGAGAAGAGCAGUGCUUGAUUGGGCUUAACGCUUCAAUAUUAUUCAAGGUGUUGCUAUCGUAAGUAAUAUUCUGUUGGAUGAGAAGAUGAGCCCAAAAAUAUCAGAUUUUGGAUUGGCGGAGAAGAUACAGAAUUCUGUCGCAAGUUUUCCUCUGGCGGAGUAGAAACAGAAAUAGGUAAAUGAUGAUGAUAUUGCUCUGUCUCACAUUGUUUGCGUUACAAAUUCAUUUUUUCAGAUGAAGGAAAUCGAACCAAGGUAGUUGUCAGCCCGAUCACAGCUAUUGGUUUAGUAUCUUGGGUGCCAUGGUGUUUGGUUUGCACAGAUUGCGAGCUAACCAAGAGGGUAAGAGAGAGAGAGAGAUGCAAUUCAUUUGUGUAAGCUAACAAAGAAAUUUUACUGGUUUUAUCUGAAUCGGUAUUUGAUUGUUAUAUUUGCCGAAUCAGGAAAAGUCAAAGUAACAACAAAGUUCUUUAAAUUGACUGAUACUACUGAGACUUCAAGAGACACUCUUCAAGAAUAUAUUAGAAACCAAGAUCCGUCGGAGCUAUACAUCUAUAAUUUUGACACCUUAUUAAUCGCUGCGAACAAUUUCAGUAUCACAAACAAACUCGGGAAAAGGGGGGAUUUGGUCCAGUUUACAAGGUCCACCAAGAAGCGCAACAUCCAAAUGCAUCCCAGGGACAAGGCAGCAGUGCUUUCCAGCUGAUCUGCUCUCUUCAUUCACCCCAAUUAAGACAGUCAUGACUAAUUUAUAUGAUGGCCUUGCCGAAGUUCUUCUCGUACUUCUGAAAAAUGCAGACACCCGUGAGAAUGUUCUUGAGUAUCUUGCAGAGGUGAUCAAUAAAAACUCAUCAAGGGCUCAUAUUCAGGAUGCUACACUUAUACAGAGUGCUUUUUCUUUCUAUCGAUUGAUGGUGGUGUAGCUAGUUCGCUUGUUUGGCGGAUUUUAAAUGCCUCUGCCCUCAACUUGCCCUACGGAGUUUGCUCCUAUGCCAGAGCUUUACUUAACUUCUGUGCAAUUAUUAUUAUUCUGGUUUCUAGUUGUUUUCCAAGAAUAUCAUUAUGUUUGAGUGGAAGCAAACAGAUGUCAUUGGAUAUUUCUCCAAUUGUUUAGUGCUGCAGCGGAUGUCCUAAGGAGAAUUGGAGAAGAUGGGAGGGUCAUACAGGAAUUUAUUGAGCUUGGUGCCAAAGCCAAAGUUGCUGCUUCUGAGGCCAUGGACGCUAAAGCGGCUCUCGGGAACAUACCAGAUGAAUUCCUUGAUCCAUUUCAGUACACUUUCAUGAAGGAUCCAGUCAUCUUGCCUUCUGCAAGAAUCACGGUAGACCGACCUGUCAUCCAAAGGCAUCUUCUUAGUGAUAAUGGACAUCAUCAACACUGCUAAUUAAUCUUGAUCUUAUGAAAUGUAUCUCCUAUUGUGUGAGAAUUUAUGUACUUCAUGUGAUUUGCAGUCGGAUCCGUUCAACCGCUCCCAUCUAACGGCGGACAUGCUAUACCAGCAAUGAAUUGAAGGGAAGAAUACAACAGUACAUUAUAGGUCCCAAGAAUUGAAGAAGCGCGGGGAAGACCUAAGCAUGCAGAGCAGCAAGGCAACCAGACAGACCACAACUAGCGAAAUGCUAAUUGAUUAGGAGGAUACAAGGUUAAUAUAAUAGGGGAUGAUUAAGAUUUAUAGCCUUUGGUGGAAAGUAACAGUUGAAGAAUUUGCAAAACUGCUUUCUCUCAAAAUUUGACUAAGUAAGAAAAAUGAACUUUUGAAAUACUAAUGUUUCAAUGAUAUUUUUGGCGGUUUAUAUUCCUUACAUUUUAAAUAAGCAAA